UGCCAGCAGCCGCGGUAAUACGAAGGGGGCUAGCGUUGUUCGGAAUUACUGGGCGUAAAGCGCACGUAGGCGGACUUUUAAGUCAGAUGUGAAAUCCCGGGGCUCAACCUCGGAACUGCAUUUGAAACUGGAAGUCUGGAGUUCAGGAGAGGUUAGCGGAAUACCGAGUGUAGAGGUGAAAUUCGUAGAUAUCAGGAGGAAUACCGAUGGCGAAGGCAGCUUUCUGGACCGAUACUGACGCUGAGACGCGAAAGCGUGGGGAGCAAACAGGAUUAGAUA
Molecule: ribosomal RNA, 279 nt
Filed under: uncultured bacterium
Lineage: Bacteria
Description: partial 16S ribosomal RNA
Rfam family: Bacterial small subunit ribosomal RNA
Source: RNAcentral